CCUACGGGUGGCAGCAGUGAGGAAUAUUGGUCAAUGGACGAGAGUCUGAACCAGCCAAGUAGCGUGAAGGAUGACUGCCCUAUGGGUUGUAAACUUCUUUUAUAUGGGAAUAAAAUGUUCCACGUGUGGGAUUUUGUAUGUACCAUAUGAAUAAGGAUCGGCUAACUCCGUGCCAGCAGCCGCGGUAAUACGGAGGAUCCGAGCGUUAUCCGGAUUUAUUGGGGUUAAAGGGAGCGUAGGUGGAUUGUUAAGUCAGUUGUGAAAGUUUGGGGCUCAACCGUAAAAUUGCAGUUGAAACUGGCAGUCUUGAGUACAGUAGAGGUGGGCGGAAUGCGUGGUGUAGCGGUGAAAUGCUUAGAUAUCACGAAGAACUCCGAUUGCGAAGGCAGUUCACUGGACUGCAACUGACACUGAGGCUCGAAAGUGUGGGUAUCAAACAGGAUUAGAUACCCUUGUAGUC
RNAcentral lists this ribosomal RNA (460 nucleotides) under uncultured bacterium. RNAcentral describes it as "partial 16S ribosomal RNA". It matches the Rfam family "Bacterial small subunit ribosomal RNA", at positions 338 to 795 of the family's 1533-position model. The record is from RNAcentral.